UAAACACCUGGGGCCAGAUUUGAUAGUGAAUCUGGAAAUUAAUUCAUUUACACCAGCAGUGAGACUGUGAAGUUUUUGGGCUUCAAGAGCAGCUCCACUAUUGACCCAUGCAGGGUAUUUCAUCCCCUGGCUGAGCAUGAAGCCCAUUUCCUCCCCAGAAUUUUGCAUUUGGACUGGAGGCCAAAUUCGUGAGAGCUGACGGCACAGCAGCUGCCUCAGGAAUCCGUGUUGUAUGGGCACCUGGAAGGAUCCAGCCAGGCAGAAGUGCCAGUGACACACAUGCAUUUCCUACUUGGUGUGCAAUUUGCUGUCACUUCUCCCACCCGUCAGCAGACAUUGAACUGGCAACAUUUCCCUACAGAACAGCUCUGAAUCUGUCUGAAUCUGAAAAAAAAAAAAAAAAAAGGAAUUCCUUGACCCACAGCCAGCCUGUGAGGAAGCAGCACAUUGCAAAGAUGAAGGUGCAGCCCCUGGCAGCAGCUCUGCUCCCUCUGCAGCCUCCCUGGAGCUCGCUCCUCCUGCCCAGGCUCUCCGCGGGACUGCAGAGCCACAGCAGCAUCGGGGCAGGGCCCCGGCCACCAGCACCAAGGCUGCCUUAACCUGCACAGAGCUGGGGCUAAAUGCUACAGCUGGCAUGGAGAGGAACUGAACUGGCUUGAACAGCCACAAUAUUAUUUUCAAGGAGUCUAAAGGAAAAAAAAGGAGCCAACAUGAGCUCUGUGCAGCAAAGAGAAAGGGCACAAACAGGGACCACACAAGAUGGAAAACAAUUGGGCCAUGAGAGUCACAAUGUUGAAGGACACGGAGUAAAAACUACAAGAACAGACUUUCCUAGUGAAUAUGUGCAAAUAACUGCAAAGCCCAGACUGCCCUGAAGAGUGAUAUCAAAGGAUUCAAUUAAAGAUAGAAAGGAUUUAUUGCUUCCACAGUUUUACAACAGAG
This is a long non-coding RNA of Passer domesticus (house sparrow), 942 nucleotides long. RefSeq lists it as uncharacterized. NCBI's taxonomy places the organism in Eukaryota, Metazoa, Chordata, Aves, Passeriformes, Passeridae. The record is from RefSeq and is a predicted model, not a curated record. The transcript has 4 exons.